UGUGUGGAACCGUCGUCGAUGGA
RNAcentral lists this microRNA (23 nucleotides) under Bombyx mori (domestic silkworm). RNAcentral's name for it is "bmo-miR-2761-3p". Lineage: Eukaryota; Metazoa; Arthropoda; Insecta; Lepidoptera; Bombycidae. The record is from miRBase by way of RNAcentral.